Molecule: RNase P RNA, 376 nt
Filed under: Fidelibacterota bacterium
Lineage: Bacteria; Pseudomonadati; Fidelibacterota
Description: RNase P RNA component class A
Rfam family: Bacterial RNase P class A
About the family: Ribonuclease P (RNase P) is a ubiquitous endoribonuclease, found in archaea, bacteria and eukarya as well as chloroplasts and mitochondria.
Source: RNAcentral
AGAGCCGAUCAUGUGGUUGCCUCAUCUACUUAUUGGUAAAUGGGGAGGAAAGUCCGAACACCGCAGGACAGGAUGCCUCCUAACAGGAGGGGUCUCAAUAUUAUUUGAGAUACGGAAAGUGCAACAGAGAGUAAACUAUCCCAUUUUGGGGAUACAGGUGAAACGGUGGUUUAAAAGACCACCAGUCAUUGAUGAGAAUUGAUGAGCUAGGUAAACCCCAUCCGGUGCAAGACCGAGUAGAAGAGCAUGAGGUUGUCCGCCUCAUUAUGACUCUUGGGUAGGUUGCGUGAUCUCUUCCGUGAGGAAGUGACCAGAUGAAUAAUCACAAUUCCGAUAUUUCGGAAUACAGAAUUCGGCUUAUAGAUCGGCUCUGAAU